UGCUCCGUGGUGUAGAGGCUAGCACGCCGAAUUCCGGUGAUAGUUGACAUUAGUUUCCUGGAUCCGGGUUCGAUUCCGUGCGGGCUAA
Rhodocollybia butyracea is the source of this 88-nucleotide non-coding RNA. Lineage: Eukaryota; Fungi; Basidiomycota; Agaricomycetes; Agaricales; Omphalotaceae. The record is from the annotation of a GenBank genome assembly.